Molecule: long non-coding RNA, 1036 nt
Filed under: Brassica napus (rape)
Lineage: Eukaryota; Viridiplantae; Streptophyta; Magnoliopsida; Brassicales; Brassicaceae
Description: long non-coding RNA (BNAP_LNC005570)
Source: RNAcentral
AGGUUGGUUGUGAUUCUGAUUAUGGUUAUAGUACUAUACUAUGUUGGUGAGAUGAAAUAGAACAGUUAAAUUUUACUAUUUUUGUAUUUUAAUUUAUUAAAGAUAUUUUAUAUUUGGGUUUGGGUUUAUGAAUUCGGGUUUAGGGUUUAGUAUUUAUGGCUUUAAGGUGGAUUAGUUUAGGGUUUAGUAUUUCAGUGUUGGAGGUUGGUUGUGAUUCUGAUGGUUUUAGUAUUAUACUAUGCUGGUGAGAUGAAAUAGAAUAGUUAAUUAUAUAAUAUUUUGUAUUUUAAUUUAUAAAAGAUAUUUUACAUUGGGUUUGGGUUUAUGAAUUCGGGUUUAGGGGUUAGUAUUUAUGAUUUAGAGGUGGGUUGGUUUAGGGUCUAGUAUUUCAGGGUUAGAGGUUGGUUGGGGUUAGAGGUUGGUUAUGAUUCUAAUUGUGUUUAUAGUACUCUACUAUGUUGGUGAGAUGAAAUAGAACAUUUUCUUUUCCAUCAUGUGUGUUGCAUACAGCUGUCAUAUAUGCUUCAUAUAAUUAAGUGUCCCUAAAAAGACCACGUCUCUUAUAUUUGGAAGUGAAACUGGCAACCUGUUAAGUAAAGGGGUAGAACCGGUUUGAUUGAGACCAAAAAGUCUGACAUUAAAUUAUGUCAAAAUCAAUGUUAGUUUCUUAAUUUGUCUCUCAAAUAUAGCUAUUUCGCUAAUAAGCCCUAGAAUUAAUGUUCUUUCAAAAAAAAAAAAAAUUAAUGUUCUUUCACAAUCGAAUUAAGACGCAGAGGAUCAUUUGAAUUGUUGUUGGCACCUAAUAUAAUAACAUCAUCAUUACACAAUCACGUAUUGUUUUGGUUCUCACAUAAUACAAAAUAUUUUAUAGUACAUAAUAAUGUUUAUAUUUUUACAAUAAAGCCUACAUUACGAUGUGGUAUUUUAUUUUGAACAGCGUGAUAUAUUUAUACAUGCAAAUCGCAUAAUAUAAGUUUCAUUUCGUAUGAUAUAUAUAGUAGUAAUGUUUAAUAAUUUAGUUUUGACAGACAACUUG